Molecule: ribosomal RNA, 843 nt
Filed under: uncultured prokaryote
Description: bacterial SSU rRNA
Rfam family: Archaeal small subunit ribosomal RNA
Source: RNAcentral
AAGCGGCCGUAGCUUGAUAAUAGGGUCCCUUGAGAAAUCCGCCGGCUUAACUGGCGGGCGUUCAGGGGAAACUUGUUUUCUAGGGACCGGGAGAGGUGAGGGGUACUGCCGGGGUAGGAGUGAAAUCCUGUAAUCCCGGUGGGACCACCUAUGGCGAAGGCAUCUCACCAGAACGGGUCCGACAGUGAGGGACGAAAGCUGGGGGAGCAAACCGGAUUAGAUACCCGGGUAGUCCCAGCUGUAAACUAUGUGCGUUAGGUGUGUCAGUGACCACGUGUCACUGAGGUGCCGAAGGGAAACCGUGAAACGCACCGCCUGGGGAGUACGGUCGCAAGGCUGAAACUUAAAGGAAUUGGCGGGGGAGCACCACAACGGGUGGAGCCUGCGGUUUAAUCGGACUCAACGCCGGGAAUCUCACCGGAUAAGACAGCUGAAUGAUAGUCGGGAUGAAGACUCUACUUGACUAGCUGAGAGGAGGUGCAUGGCCGUCGUCAGUUCGUACUGUGAAGCAUCCUGUUUAGUCAGGCAACGAGCGAGACCCACGCGAGCAGUUGCCAGCUUGACCUUCGGGUCGAUGGGGACACUGCUCGGACCGCCUCUGCUAAAGGGGAGGAAGGACUGGGCAACGGUAGGUCAGCAUGCCCCGAAUUAUCCGGGCUACACGCGGGCUACAAUGGACAGGACAAUGAGUUUCGACACCGAGAGGUGAGGAUAAUCUUCUAACCCUGUCCCAAGUUCGGAUUGCGGGUUGUAACUCACCCGCAUGAAGCUGGAAUCCGUAGUAAUCGCGUUUCAACAUACCGCGGUGAAUAUGUCCCUGCUCCUUGCACACACCGCCCGUAA